UAGAGUUUGAUCCUGGCUCAGAACGAACGCUGGCGGCGUGGAUAAGACAUGCAAGUCGAACGAGAGAAUUGCUAGCUUGCUAAUAAUUCUCUAGUGGCGCACGGGUGAGUAACACGUGAGUAACCUGCCCCCGAGAGCGGGAUAGCCCUGGGAAACUGGGAUUAAUACCGCAUAGUAUCGAAAGAUUAAAGCAGCAAUGCGCUUGGGGAUGGGCUCGCGGCCUAUUAGUUAGUUGGUGAGGUAACGGCUCACCAAGGCGAUGACGGGUAGCCGGUCUGAGAGGAUGUCCGGCCACACUGGAACUGAGACACGGUCCAGACACCUACGGGUGGCAGCAGUCGAGAAUCAUUCACAAUGGGGGAAACCCUGAUGGUGCGACGCCGCGUGGGGGAAUGAAGGUCUUCGGAUUGUAAACCCCUGUCAUGUGGGAGCAAAUUAAAAAGAUAGUACCACAAGAGGAAGAGACGGCUAACUCUGUGCCAGCAGCCGCGGUAAUACAGAGGUCUCAAGCGUUGUUCGGAAUCACUGGGCGUAAAGCGUGCGUAGGCUGUUUCGUAAGUCGUGUGUGAAAGGCGCGGGCUCAACCCGCGGACGGCACAUGAUACUGCGAGACUAGAGUAAUGGAGGGGGAACCGGAAUUCUCGGUGUAGCAGUGAAAUGCGUAGAUAUCGAGAGGAACACUCGUGGCGAAGGCGGGUUCCUGGUCAUUAACUGACGCUGAGGCACGAAGGCCAGGGGAGCGAAAGGGAUUAGAUACCCCUGUAGUCCUGGCAGUAAACGGUGCACGCUUGGUGUGCGGGGAAUCGACCCCCUGCGUGCCGGAGCUAACGCGUUAAGCGUGCCGCCUGGGGAGUACGGUCGCAAGAUUAAAACUCAAAGAAAUUGACGGGGACCCGCACAAGCGGUGGAGUAUGUGGCUUAAUUCGAUGCAACGCGAAGAACCUUACCUGGGCUUGACAUGUAAUGAACAACAUGUGAAAGCAUGCGACUCUUCGGAGGCGUUACACAGGUGCUGCAUGGCCGUCGUCAGCUCGUGUCGUGAGAUGUUUGGUUAAGUCCAGCAACGAGCGCAACCCCUGUUGCCAGUUACCAGCACGUGAAGGUGGGGACUCUGGCGAGACUGCCCAGAUCAACUGGGAGGAAGGUGGGGACGACGUCAGGUCAGUAUGGCCCUUAUGCCCAGGGCUGCACACGUACUACAAUGCCCAGUACAGAGGGGGCCGAAGCCGCGAGGCGGAGGAAAUCCUAAAAACUGGGCCCAGUUCGGACUGUAGGCUGCAACCCGCCUACACGAAGCCGGAAUCGCUAGUAAUGGCGCAUCAGCUACGGCGCCGUGAAUACGUUCCCGGGUCUUGCACUCACCGCCCGUCA
Molecule: ribosomal RNA, 1371 nt
Filed under: uncultured bacterium
Lineage: Bacteria
Description: bacterial SSU rRNA
Rfam family: Bacterial small subunit ribosomal RNA
Source: RNAcentral